Molecule: long non-coding RNA, 1355 nt
Organism: Panthera uncia (snow leopard)
Lineage: Eukaryota; Metazoa; Chordata; Mammalia; Carnivora; Felidae
Exons: 2
Source: RefSeq, a predicted model, not a curated record
GCGAGACCGGCGCGGGGCAGGCUGGGUAAUACAGCUCGGUGAGGCCGAUCGCAGAGCACGUCUUGCCCCCGCCUCCUCCCUUGGUUACUGGUCCAGCCAGGCUGUGAGACAGAAAACCGCCCACCGUGUGACUGCAGAAUCCCACGGCAUCCCGGUCAACUGCUAACCAUGAAGUGGAUUUUCUUCCAGGACUGAACUCUGGAAGGGACAGAAGCUGGAGUUUUGGAAAGAAAGAGAAGUGGCAUUGGAACUAGUACGUCCUGUUGAUUUGUGAUUUACAAAAAGGGCGGGGGGGAAGGUGCACCCCUUAUUCUUCAGGAGUUGAGAAGUGUCAUCAAGCACCAGAACAGGGGCCACACAUCAGACCGGAACAGGAUCUCACACCAUGCUGCCUGAGUCUUCUUCCAGAGAAUGUUCCUGCAAAGAGUGUCCUCAGCCUCAGCCAGUCCGAUGAACUCAGCUGCUUGAGAAGUUGUGAAGGAUGGGGUCAGAAUCCUUACAGAAGUUUCUCGUUGAGAGGGGCUUCCAAAGCCCCCACAGCCACGAACUUCCCCUUCGAGGUCUGAUCCCUUUAAUGAGGGCGUACCACCGUCAGGUAGAUUUUCUCCCUUGGCUUUGUUGAAACUGCUCACCUCCGGCACGCACGGAGCUAAUGUGCUGCACCUUCUAUAGCCCUGGCAUCACCUGUUUGUCCUUUGGCAGCCCGGGCACAUGCGGGAAGAGCCAUCCACAGCACCUGCCGCCCCAAGAACCCCUCCGAUUGAGGAAGCCAGGAACCUGGGUGGUGCAAAUGGUUUAUCCUAUUUGCAGCCAAAUGUUAACACCUGAUAAAGCCAAAAGGUGACUCUCGUGCCUUUUGUUUGGGGAAUACUUACCGAGUGAGUUCAUUCCAGCAGAAACCUGAGCAAAGGUGACUCUUGGGUCCUUCUGCCGUCUGUCCUCUGGCAAAAGCUUCCCACUUCGCAGAGCUCCUUUGCGGAAAGGAUCGAUCCGCACCUCGGUCAGUCUGAAGGCAGAUUUCUCUCAAGGAUGGCGGCACUUUCUGGAGUUUUCGUGGGUACAGCCAGUGACUGCUUAACCUGGAUUCACAAACUACGUCUUCUUGGUCCCCAACCAUGGGGAUCACCUGGGCUCCUGAGCCGGCUAGAAUCACACCCCAGGCAGGAGAAGGAGGUUUCCCAGCCAAGUCUAGCCGGUGCUCAAGGCCAUGUUAGCUUUUCACACAGCAAGCUGGGAAGAGCUGGGAUAGCCUGAAGCUUUGUUUUUAGAUGUAGGCUCAGGACUUUCUGGGGAGGUACCACAGAAAGACAAGGCCCCACCCAUCAAAGAGUCAAUAAAUAACUUUUUUUUUUUAA